This is an RNA transcript of Populus nigra (black poplar), 3446 nucleotides long. It is a transcript of the gene named glucosamine inositolphosphorylceramide transferase 1-like, with no coding region annotated. The record is from RefSeq and is a predicted model, not a curated record. The transcript has 5 exons. NCBI's taxonomy places the organism in Eukaryota, Viridiplantae, Streptophyta, Magnoliopsida, Malpighiales, Salicaceae.
UGAGAUGGCCAGACAGCGACUCAUCCAUGCACAAAGACGAUCCCAAAGACCCAAACCCCUAAAUUCCAAGCCAAAAUAAAUAAAUAAAACCUUCCCUGCCUGUCAUCCCCACCACCAAUUCUAUCUAAGAAUUUUACAUCCAAAACACGCGCAAAACGUAUCUCUACAGCAAUCUCAAAAUCAAUCACGCACUGAAACAACAACGUUAUAAAAACCAAAACCAUAACCAAAACAAAAAAUAUUACCCAUAAAAAGGUCCUUAGAAAUUAACUUCCUUCCCUUGUAAAGACACAAACUUCUAAAAUUUCAAUCUUUCCAUCUGGGGUUUGCCUAAACUUGCAAAUAAUAAUCUUUCAUGGGUGUUUAUGAGGCUGGUGUGAAUGGCACCGCAACAGCGACAUCUUGUAGCUUCUGGAAUACGAGCAUGAGGUGUUGGUGCAGAUGGAGAUGGGAAAACCAUCAACAACAGCAGCAGCAGCAUAAUGUUUUGCGCCAAAGAUUGGUUUCUCUAGUGUUUUCCUCUGGUUUUACGUUCUUUUUGGGGUAUUUGGUUUUGUAUGGAUCUAUUGGCAUGUUUUAUGCUUGGCUUAUGUUUAGUAAGCCUUAUUUACGUAGCACAAAUGCUGGUGUUGGGUUAAAGUCACUUGGUUGUCAAGAAGACAACGAGGGUUCUUGGUCUAUUGGUGUCUUUUAUGGUGAUUCUCCUUUCUCUCUCAAACCAAUUGAAGCUAUGAAUGAAUGGAGACAUGAGGGUGCGGCAUGGCCUAUUGCCAACCCCGUUGUCACUUGUGCUUCGCUUUCUGAUGCUGGCUUCCCCAGUAAUUUUGUUGCUGACCCGUUUCUUUAUGUUCAGGGGGAUACACUUUUCCUCUUCUAUGAAACAAAAAAUUCAAUAACCAGUCAAGGAGAUAUUGGAGUUGCGAAAAGUAUUGACAAGGGAGCGACAUGGCAACAGUUGGGCAUUGCCUUGGAUGAGGACUGGCAUCUAUCCUAUCCCUAUGUAUUCAACUACCUUGGCCAAAUAUAUAUGAUGCCUGAGAGCAGCCAGAAAGGGGACCUUCGUCUUUAUCGAGCUCUUAACUUUCCAUUGCAGUGGACACUGGAUAAGGUUCUUAUAAAAAAUCCCCUUGCAGAUUCUUUUAUCAUUAAUCGUGCUGGAGAAUAUUGGCUUUUUGGUUCAGAUCACAGUGGUGUUGGAACCAGGAAGAAUGGGCAACUGGAAAUCUGGUAUAGUAGCUCACCACUUGGUCCCUGGAAACCACACAAGAAGAAUCCCAUUUAUAAUGUUGACAAGAGUGUGGGAGCUAGGAAUGGAGGCAGGCCAUUUGUGUAUGAUGGAAACCUUUAUCGUGUUGGUCAAGACUGUGGUGAAACAUAUGGAAGACGAGUCCGUAUCUUCAAGGUAGAAGUUCUUACCAAGGACGAUUACAAAGAAGUUGAAGUUCCCCUGGGAUUUGAAGAGUCCAAUAAGGGACUCAAUGCUUGGAAUGGUGCACGCUACCAUCAUCUUGAUGUGCAGCAACUAAGCUCUGGUAAAUGGAUAGCUGUCAUGGAUGGAGAUCGUGUAUCUUCAGGAGAUCCAGUCCAUCGCUUUGUUCUCGGCUCUGCUUCAUUUGCUGCUGUCACUGCUGUUGUUGUUGUAUUGGGUGUGCUACUUGGAGCAGUGAAGUGCAUUAUUCCCCUCAACUGGUGUGCUCACUUCUCAGGGAAGAGAAAUAAUGCUCUCUUGGGUCGGGCAAGGUCGAAUUUGUUUUCUUCAAAGGUGAGACGUUUUUGCAGCCGAUUGAACAGGGUUCCUCUGUCUGUUCGAGGAAAAAUAAAGCCUAAUACUUGGGCUGGAAAAUUGGUUUUGGCUGUAAUAUUUGCAGUUGGAGUUGCAUUGAUGUGCACAGGUGUUAAAUAUUUCUUUGGAGGCAAUGGUGCUGAGGGAGCUUAUCCGUUAAAUGGUUCCUACUCUCAGUUCACUUUAUUGACGAUGACAUAUGAUGCACGGCUCUGGAAUUUGAAAAUGUAUGCGAGGCAUUAUUCAAGGUGUUCUUCUGUUAAAGAGAUUGUUGUGGUUUGGAACAAGGGCAUGCCUCCCAGAUCGAGUGAUCUAGACUCCACUGUGCCUGUAAGGAUCAGAGUAGAAGACCAAAACUCACUGAACAAUCGGUUCAAGGAAGAUCCUAAGAUUAAGACCCGUGCUGUUCUCGAGCUUGAUGAUGAUAUCAUGAUGUCUUGUGACGAUAUAGAACGGGGAUUCAAUGUGUGGCGUCAACACCCAGAUCGGAUUGUUGGCUUCUAUCCCCGACUCGUUCGUGGUAGUCCAUUGCAGUAUAGGGAUGAGAAAUAUGCCCGGCGUCAUGAAAGUUAUAACAUGAUUCUUACUGGGGCAGCUUUCAUUGACCGUACACUAGCUUUUGAGAGGUACUGGAGUAGUGAAGCUAAGGCAGGAAGGGAUCUGGUAGAUAGAUACUUCAACUGCGAGGAUGUGCUUUUGAAUUACUUGUAUGCAAAUGCAAGCUCGUCCCAGACUGUUGAGUAUGUGAGGCCAACAUGGGUAAUAGACACAUCGAAAUUUACUGGGGUAGCAAUUAGCAAGAAUACAAGUGAGCAUUACAAUAUAAGAAGUAAUUGCCUCCUGAAAUUUUCAGAGAUCUAUGGAAGUAUAGCUGGCCGAAAGUGUGAAUUUAAUGGGCGCAAGGAUGGUUGGGAUUUAUAGUGAUGCCUAAUCUUGACAGCAGCACACUUGAGGUCAUAAAUUCUCUUACUCUUAAGAUAUUGGAUAAGGAAAAGAAAACGUAAAAAGCAACCUCCAAUCACUGGAAGCUGGGAGAUUUUGGUCUGGCAAAAGACACGAUGCUCUUCCCUUCGGUGAUAUUGAGGUGGAGAUUUUGGUCUUUUGAAGGUCCAACUGACAGGUCUCGGACUGAAAGGUGUUUAUCUGGGAGUGGCUUUGCACUUUGAAAGGGCUCUUUCGGUUCUUACAGAGAUAAAUUACAGAAACAAAGACAACCCAGGCCCUAGUGCCACGGAGCAUCACCCCCAGGAAGCCAUCUCAAAUAUGAGAACAAUGGUUCAGGGAAUCAGGGAUUUUCGUCAAGCAAGGUACAUGCGGGGCCAGUGAUGUUGAAUACUAAACUCAAUCUAGAAGGUCAAGGAAGGCAACCACCGGCCAGCCAGCCACCAGCUAUGACCGACCAGCCGCCAGCCGCCAGCCGCAGCCGCCAGCCGCCUUCACACCACCAUCCACAGCCGCCUUCACACUUGGAAAGGUUGAAUUAUCUUGUUUUGAAUUCGUGUAUAAAUAGCAAGCUGAGCUUAUGCUAUUAGGUGUGGGAGAGUAGAGAGAAUAGAGAGAAACACUAGAGAGAAAGAGAGGGUGUGUAUUGUUAAGCUUGUUGUAAGUUUAUUUUGUGUUUUGUAAGCUUGUGUUUUUGAAAUAAAACUUUGUGUUUUAUACC